This 253-nucleotide ribosomal RNA is filed under the name uncultured bacterium. RNAcentral's name for it is "partial 16S ribosomal RNA". It matches the Rfam family "Bacterial small subunit ribosomal RNA", at positions 524 to 776 of the family's 1533-position model. The record is from RNAcentral.
UACGUAGGGGGCAAGCGUUGUCCGGAAUUAUUGGGCGUAAAGAGCGCGUAGGCGGUCCGAUAAGUCGGCUGUGAAAGUCCAGGGCUCAACCCUGGAAAGCCGGCCGAUACUGUCGGACUAGAGUCCGGAAGAGGCGAGUGGAAUUCCCGGUGUAGCGGUGAAAUGCGCAGAUAUCGGGAGGAACACCCGUGGCUAAGGCGGCUCUCUAGUACGGUACUGACGCUGAGACGCGAAAGCGUGGGGAGCGAACAGG